RNAcentral lists this long non-coding RNA (607 nucleotides) under Moschus moschiferus (Siberian musk deer). RNAcentral describes it as "lncRNA (ENSMMSG00000004724.1)". Lineage: Eukaryota; Metazoa; Chordata; Mammalia; Artiodactyla; Moschidae. The record is from RNAcentral.
AAUAAAAUGCCAGUCACACCUCCAGAAGUGUUCAUAACAGCAUUUCUUCAAUUAACAGGGCAAAGGUUGGAGCAGUAAAGGAACAGAUGAAGGCCAGGCACUUCUCCUGGGUCAUUACUGUAAACCUGGCAGUCAGCCACUCUGGAUGCUACCAUUCUCCCCACGAUGAAUUAAAGCCACAGAGAGGUUCAAUGGUACAAUGUCAGGAACUGAGGGAUGCUGAGAAUUAAGGACAAGGCCUGUGAAGAGGAACUUCUGUGAGAUGAGAAUACAGUAGAUCUUCAGAUUCCUCCAGAUCUUCAGCUGUUGUUUCAUACUUGCCAUUUCCACUGUAUCCGGCAAAUUCCUCAGAUCUAUCUUCUUGUUCAACAAGUUCAACUUAAACUGUUUACUGUUUCAUCCAGUCCACUUACUAUACUGUUUUUAUUUCAGUGAUAUCAUUUUUUAUUUCCAAGAUAUUUUGCUGACCAUUUUUAAAGAAGUAAUAACCUCUCACAUCUCUGUGUAAUUAGGCUCAUUCUAACAGUCUGCCCUAUUUGCUUUAUUACCUCUACCCCUUGGUUCUAUAAGUAACCAAUUAAAAAAAUUUUUUUAUAAAACCUUUAUU